RNAcentral lists this ribosomal RNA (471 nucleotides) under uncultured bacterium. Its description in RNAcentral is "bacterial SSU rRNA". It matches the Rfam family "Bacterial small subunit ribosomal RNA", at positions 28 to 479 of the family's 1533-position model. The record is from RNAcentral.
GAUGAACGCUAGCGGCAGGCUUAAUACAUGCAAGUUGAGGGGCAGCAUGAUAUACGCGAGUAUAUUGAUGGCGACCGGCGGACGGGUGAGUAAUAGGUAGGAGACCUACCUCAUACAGGGGGAUAGCAUAGAGAAAUCUGUGGUAAUACCCCAUGAGGUUAUAUGAAUAGAGGCAUAUAAUCAAAAGCAUAAGCGAUUAUGCGGUAUGAGAGGGGCCUACUGACCAUUAGCUAGUUGGUGAGGUAAGGGCUCACCAAGGCGAUGAUAGAUAGGCGGCCUUAACGGGUGGUCGCCCACACUGGGAUUGAGAUACGGCCCAGACUCCUACGGGAGCAGCAGUCGAGAAUAGUCUACAAUGGCCGGAAGGCUGAUAGUGCGACGCCGCGUGAACGAGGGAGCCCUUCGGGGUGUAAAGUUCUUUUCGUAUUACGAGCAGUGCUAUAUAUAUGGAUAGUAUAUAUAGAGGAUAGU